Molecule: ribosomal RNA, 2242 nt
Filed under: Salmonella enterica subsp. enterica serovar Agona
Lineage: Bacteria; Pseudomonadati; Pseudomonadota; Gammaproteobacteria; Enterobacterales; Enterobacteriaceae
Description: partial 23S ribosomal RNA
Rfam family: Bacterial large subunit ribosomal RNA
Source: RNAcentral
AGACCCGAAACCCGGUGAUCUAGCCAUGGGCAGGUUGAAGGUUGGGUAACACUAACUGGAGGACCGAACCGACUAAUGUUGAAAAAUUAGCGGAUGACCUGUGGCUGGGGGUGAAAGGCCAAUCAAACCGGGAGAUAGCUGGUUCUCCCCGAAAGCUAUUUAGGUAGCGCCUCGUGAAUUCAUCUCCGGGGGUAGAGCACUGUUUCGGCUAGGGGGCCAUCCCGGCUUACCAACCCGAUGCAAACUGCGAAUACCGGAGAAUGUUAUCACGGGAGACACACGGCGGGUGCUAACGUCCGUCGUGAAGAGGGAAACAACCCAGACCGCCAGCUAAGGUCCCAAAGUCAUGGUUAAGUGGGAAACGAUGUGGGAAGGCCCAGACAGCCAGGAUGUUGGCUUAGAAGCAGCCAUCAUUUAAAGAAAGCGUAAUAGCUCACUGGUCGAGUCGGCCUGCGCGGAAGAUGUAACGGGGCUAAACCAUGCACCGAAGCUGCGGCAGCGACACUCAGGUGUUGUUGGGUAGGGGAGCGUUCUGUAAGCCUGCGAAGGUGGCCUGUGAGGGUUGCUGGAGGUAUCAGAAGUGCGAAUGCUGACAUAAGUAACGAUAAAGCGGGUGAAAAGCCCGCUCGCCGGAAGACCAAGGGUUCCUGUCCAACGUUAAUCGGGGCAGGGUGAGUCGACCCCUAAGGCGAGGCCGAAAGGCGUAGUCGAUGGGAAACGGGUUAAUAUUCCCGUACUUGGUGUUACUGCGAAGGGGGGACGGAGAAGGCUAUGUUGGCCGGGCGACGGUUGUCCCGGUUUAAGCGUGUAGGUGUGUGUUCCAGGUAAAUCCGGUUCACUUUAACACUGAGGCGUGACGACGAGGCACUACGGUGCUGAAGCAACAAAUGCCCUGCUUCCAGGAAAAGCCUCUAAGCAUCAGGUAACAUCAAAUCGUACCCCAAACCGACACAGGUGGUCAGGUAGAGAAUACCAAGGCGCUUGAGAGAACUCGGGUGAAGGAACUAGGCAAAAUGGUGCCGUAACUUCGGGAGAAGGCACGCUGACACGUAGGUGAAGUGAUUUACUCAUGGAGCUGAAGUCAGUCGAAGAUACCAGCUGGCUGCAACUGUUUAUUAAAAACACAGCACUGUGCAAACACGAAAGUGGACGUAUACGGUGUGACGCCUGCCCGGUGCCGGAAGGUUAAUUGAUGGGGUCAGCGCAAGCGAAGCUCCUGAUCGAAGCCCCGGUAAACGGCGGCCGUAACUAUAACGGUCCUAAGGUAGCGAAAUUCCUUGUCGGGUAAGUUCCGACCUGCACGAAUGGCGUAAUGAUGGCCAGGCUGUCUCCACCCGAGACUCAGUGAAAUUGAACUCGCUGUGAAGAUGCAGUGUACCCGCGGCAAGACGGAAAGACCCCGUGAACCUUUACUAUAGCUUGACACUGAACAUUGAGCCUUGAUGUGUAGGAUAGGUGGGAGGCUUUGAAGUGUGGACGCCAGUCUGCAUGGAGCCGACCUUGAAAUACCACCCUUUAAUGUUUGAUGUUCUAACGUGGACCCGUAAUCCGGGUUGCGGACAGUGUCUGGUGGGUAGUUUGACUGGGGCGGUCUCCUCCUAAAGAGUAACGGAGGAGCACGAAGGUUGGCUAAUCCUGGUCGGACAUCAGGAGGUUAGUGCAAUGGCAUAAGCCAGCUUGACUGCGAGCGUGACGGCGCGAGCAGGUGCGAAAGCAGGUCAUAGUGAUCCGGUGGUUCUGAAUGGAAGGGCCAUCGCUCAACGGAUAAAAGGUACUCCGGGGAUAACAGGCUGAUACCGCCCAAGAGUUCAUAUCGACGGCGGUGUUUGGCACCUCGAUGUCGGCUCAUCACAUCCUGGGGCUGAAGUAGGUCCCAAGGGUAUGGCUGUUCGCCAUUUAAAGUGGUACGCGAGCUGGGUUUAGAACGUCGUGAGACAGUUCGGUCCCUAUCUGCCGUGGGCGCUGGAGAACUGAGGGGGGCUGCUCCUAGUACGAGAGGACCGGAGUGGACGCAUCACUGGUGUUCGGGUUGUCAUGCCAAUGGCACUGCCCGGUAGCUAAAUGCGGAAGAGAUAAGUGCUGAAAGCAUCUAAGCACGAAACUUGCCCCGAGAUGAGUUCUCCCUGAGACUUAGAGUCUCCUGAAGGAACGUUGAAGACGACGACGUUGAUAGGCCGGGUGUGUAAGCGCAGCGAUGCGUUGAGCUAACCGGUACUAAUGAACCGUGAGGCUUAACCUUACA